Zingiber officinale is the source of this 281-nucleotide long non-coding RNA. RefSeq lists it as uncharacterized. The record is from RefSeq and is a predicted model, not a curated record. The transcript is spliced from 4 exons. NCBI's taxonomy places the organism in Eukaryota, Viridiplantae, Streptophyta, Magnoliopsida, Zingiberales, Zingiberaceae.
AUGUGGUUACUAUGUGAUGCGAUUUAUGAGACAAAUUGUUGAAGAAGUUGAAAUUAUCGAAAGAGAUUCACUACGAUCUAUAUUCACACAAGCAGAGUAUUCUCGAGAAGAAAUUGAUGAGGUGCGAUCGGAGUUGGCAGAAUGUAUACAAGAUCAUAUUUAUGAGUAGGAGAAAUGCUCAAACUACAUGGUAGAGAUGGCAUGGAUAGAAAAUGUGGAUACAGGACAGUCGAGAUCAGUACACUAAGGAGCGUCUGGAUUCAGUAAUUGAUCAGUACAUA